RNAcentral lists this ribosomal RNA (486 nucleotides) under marine sediment bacterium ISA-1171. RNAcentral describes it as "bacterial SSU rRNA". It matches the Rfam family "Bacterial small subunit ribosomal RNA", at positions 30 to 513 of the family's 1533-position model. The record is from RNAcentral.
UGAACGCUAGCGGCAGGCCUAACACAUGCAAGUCGAGGGGUAACAGAGAAGCUUGCUUCUGCUGACGACCGGCGCACGGGUGCGUAACGCGUAUAGAAUCUACCUUAUACUGAGGGAUAGCCUUUGGAAACGAAGAUUAAUACCUCAUAGUAUGUUUACUUCGCAUGGAGUUUACAUUAAAGGUUACGGUAUAAGAUGACUAUGCGUUCUAUUAGCUAGAUGGUGUGGUAACGGCACACCAUGGCAACGAUAGAUAGGGGCCCUGAGAGGGGGAUCCCCCACACUGGUACUGAGACACGGACCAGACUCCUACGGGAGGCAGCAGUGAGGAAUAUUGGACAAUGGGCGCAAGCCUGAUCCAGCCAUGCCGCGUGCAGGAAGACUGCCCUAUGGGUUGUAAACUGCUUUUAUACGGGAAGAAACAUCACUACGUGUAGUGACUUGACGGUACCGUAAGAAUAAGGAUCGGCUAACUCCGUGCCAGCA